GGUUAAGCGACUAAGCGUACACGGUGGAUGCCCUGGCAGUCAGAGGCGAUGAAGGACGUGCUAAUCUGCGAUAAGCGUCGGUAAGGUGAUAUGAACCGUUAUAACCGGCGAUUUCCGAAUGGGGAAACCCAGUGUGUUUCGACACACUAUCAUUAACUGAAUCCAUAGGUUAAUGAGGCGAACCGGGGGAACUGAAACAUCUAAGUACCCCGAGGAAAAGAAAUCAACCGAGAUUCCCCCAGUAGCGGCGAGCGAACGGGGAGCAGCCCAGAGCCUGAAUCAGUGUGUGUGUUAGUGGAAGCGUCUGGAAAGGCGCGCGAUACAGGGUGACAGCCCCGUACACAAAAAUGCACAUACUGUGAGCUCGAUGAGUAGGGCGGGACACGUGGUAUCCUGUCUGAAUAUGGGGGGACCAUCCUCCAAGGCUAAAUACUCCUGACUGACCGAUAGUGAACCAGUACCGUGAGGGAAAGGCGAAAAGAACCCCGGCGAGGGGAGUGAAAAAGAACCUGAAACCGUGUACGUACAAGCAGUGGGAGCCUCUUUUAUGGGGUGACUGCGUACCUUUUGUAUAAUGGGUCAGCGACUUAUAUUCUGUAGCAAGGUUAACCGAAUAGGGGAGCCGAAGGGAAACCGAGUCUUAACUGGGCGUUAAGUUGCAGGGUAUAGACCCGAAACCCGGUGAUCUAGCCAUGGGCAGGUUGAAGGUUGGGUAACACUAACUGGAGGACCGAACCGACUAAUGUUGAAAAAUUAGCGGAUGACUUGUGGCUGGGGGUGAAAGGCCAAUCAAACCGGGAGAUAGCUGGUUCUCCCCGAAAGCUAUUUAGGUAGCGCCUCGUGAAUUCAUCUCCGGGGGUAGAGCACUGUUUCGGCAAGGGGGUCAUCCCGACUUACCAACCCGAUGCAAACUGCGAAUACCGGAGAAUGUUAUCACGGGAGACACACGGCGGGUGCUAACGUCCGUCGUGAAGAGGGAAACAACCCAGACCGCCAGCUAAGGUCCCAAAGUCAUGGUUAAGUGGGAAACGAUGUGGGAAGGCCCAGACAGCCAGGAUGUUGGCUUAGAAGCAGCCAUCAUUUAAAGAAAGCGUAAUAGCUCACUGGUCGAGUCGGCCUGCGCGGAAGAUGUAACGGGGCUAAACCAUGCACCGAAGCUGCGGCAGCGACGCUUAUGCGUUGUUGGGUAGGGGAGCGUUCUGUAAGCCUGUGAAGGUGUGCUGUGAGGCAUGCUGGAGGUAUCAGAAGUGCGAAUGCUGACAUAAGUAACGAUAAAGCGGGUGAAAAGCCCGCUCGCCGGAAGACCAAGGGUUCCUGUCCAACGUUAAUCGGGGCAGGGUGAGUCGACCCCUAAGGCGAGGCCGAAAGGCGUAGUCGAUGGGAAACAGGUUAAUAUUCCUGUACUUGGUGUUACUGCGAAGGGGGGACGGAGAAGGCUAUGUUGGCCGGGCGACGGUUGUCCCGGUUUAAGCGUGUAGGCUGGUUUUCCAGGCAAAUCCGGAAAAUCAAGGCUGAGGCGUGAUGACGAGGCACUACGGUGCUGAAGCAACAAAUGCCCUGCUUCCAGGAAAAGCCUCUAAGCAUCAGGUAACAUCAAAUCGUACCCCAAACCGACACAGGUGGUCAGGUAGAGAAUACCAAGGCGCUUGAGAGAACUCGGGUGAAGGAACUAGGCAAAAUGGUGCCGUAACUUCGGGAGAAGGCACGCUGAUAUGUAGGUGAAGCGACUUGCUCGUGGAGCUGAAAUCAGUCGAAGAUACCAGCUGGCUGCAACUGUUUAUUAAAAACACAGCACUGUGCAAACACGAAAGUGGACGUAUACGGUGUGACGCCUGCCCGGUGCCGGAAGGUUAAUUGAUGGGGUCAGCGCAAGCGAAGCUCUUGAUCGAAGCCCCGGUAAACGGCGGCCGUAACUAUAACGGUCCUAAGGUAGCGAAAUUCCUUGUCGGGUAAGUUCCGACCUGCACGAAUGGCGUAAUGAUGGCCAGGCUGUCUCCACCCGAGACUCAGUGAAAUUGAACUCGCUGUGAAGAUGCAGUGUACCCGCGGCAAGACGGAAAGACCCCGUGAACCUUUACUAUAGCUUGACACUGAACAUUGAGCCUUGAUGUGUAGGAUAGGUGGGAGGCUUAGAAGUGUGGACGCCAGUCUGCAUGGAGCCGACCUUGAAAUACCACCCUUUAAUGUUUGAUGUUCUAACGUUGACCCGUAAUCCGGGUUGCGGACAGUGUCUGGUGGGUAGUUUGACUGGGGCGGUCUCCUCCUAAAGAGUAACGGAGGAGCACGAAGGUUGGCUAAUCCUGGUCGGACAUCAGGAGGUUAGUGCAAUGGCAUAAGCCAGCUUGACUGCGAGCGUGACGGCGCGAGCAGGUGCGAAAGCAGGUCAUAGUGAUCCGGUGGUUCUGAAUGGAAGGGCCAUCGCUCAACGGAUAAAAGGUACUCCGGGGAUAACAGGCUGAUACCGCCCAAGAGUUCAUAUCGACGGCGGUGUUUGGCACCUCGAUGUCGGCUCAUCACAUCCUGGGGCUGAAGUAGGUCCCAAGGGUAUGGCUGUUCGCCAUUUAAAGUGGUACGCGAGCUGGGUUUAGAACGUCGUGAGACAGUUCGGUCCCUAUCUGCCGUGGGCGCUGGAGAACUGAGGGGGGCUGCUCCUAGUACGAGAGGACCGGAGUGGACGCAUCACUGGUGUUCGGGUUGUCAUGCCAAUGGCACUGCCCGGUAGCUAAAUGCGGAAGAGAUAAGUGCUGAAAGCAUCUAAGCACGAAACUUGCCCCGAGAUGAGUUCUCCCUGACCCUUUAAGGGUCCUGAAGGAACGUUGAAGACGACGACGUUGAUAGGCCGGGUGUGUAAGCGCAGCGAUGCGUUGAGCUAACCGGUACUAAUGAACCGUGAGGCUUAACCUU
RNAcentral lists this ribosomal RNA (2904 nucleotides) under Escherichia coli. Its description in RNAcentral is "23S ribosomal RNA". It matches the Rfam family "Bacterial large subunit ribosomal RNA". Lineage: Bacteria; Pseudomonadati; Pseudomonadota; Gammaproteobacteria; Enterobacterales; Enterobacteriaceae. The record is from RNAcentral.